RNAcentral lists this ribosomal RNA (152 nucleotides) under Graptopetalum amethystinum. Its description in RNAcentral is "5.8S ribosomal RNA". It matches the Rfam family "5.8S ribosomal RNA". Rfam says of the family: 5.8S ribosomal RNA (5.8S rRNA) is a component of the large subunit of the eukaryotic ribosome. It is transcribed by RNA polymerase I as part of the 45S precursor that also contains 18S and 28S rRNA. Lineage: Eukaryota; Viridiplantae; Streptophyta; Magnoliopsida; Saxifragales; Crassulaceae. The record is from RNAcentral.
CGGCAACGGAUAUCUCGGCUCUCGCAUCGAUGAAGAACGUAGCAAAAUGCGAUACUUGGUGUGAAUUGCAGAAUCCCGUGAAUCAUCGAGUCUUUGAACGCAAGUUGCGCCCGACGCCUUUAGGCCAAGGGCACGUCUGCCUGGGCGUCAUG